Molecule: long non-coding RNA, 1021 nt
Organism: Triticum aestivum (bread wheat)
Lineage: Eukaryota; Viridiplantae; Streptophyta; Magnoliopsida; Poales; Poaceae
Exons: 4
Source: RefSeq, a predicted model, not a curated record
AUUGCCUCUGUUCUCGCCACGAAAGCGGCGAUCGGCGCCGCCAAGAUUGGGGGAGGCCGCCCCGCCGACCGAGUUCGGAUCGACCAAAUCAAUCAGCCCUGCGAAUAGUCUGCUCUCUUCUCCCCCAGAUUACAACGUUCGGCGACGGAAGAUUGGAGGAGGCCGCCCCACCGGCCGGGCUCGGAUCCACCGCAUCAACCCGCCCCGGGAGCACCCGGGUCUCUUUCCCCCGGAUUGCAACAACCGACCAUGACUAUCGGUUCAGUUUAAAUACACAUGCAUAACCUGGGAUUGUAGACGAUAUGCUCACUGACUAUAGAGAGAUUCGAACCAAGGCAAGAUGAACUUUGAGAUUGAAAGGGAUGACAAGGUUCGGAAUGAUGUACGCACAAAAGUAAUCCAGAAGGGUGUUCGACAAUAAUGCUGCAACUAAAGAAGGAUUACUUCAAUGGUUAUACUGCUGAAGAAGUGUUAUCCAAUAAGCCACCUAAUAGUACUUACGAGAAUUGGAUCAAGCACCUUCUUUUCCAGCAUGGGGUAUGCACCAAGAUACUGUAGUUCUGGGAGCUCUCCUUCAUCAGCACAGAUCCGUGUUGUAGAAGAGAUAAUGGAACAAAAUCAUAGAGGCAUCGAGAGGAGUUAGGUGCAAGACUUGAAUCACAAGAUAGAGAAUUUGAAGAAAUUCACAGGGAGCAUCAAGAAGAAGCGAAAGGAGACAUAUAACCUAAUUGGCCUUCUCUUAAGGGCUCAAUCAACACCCAACAGUCCCAACCCAAACCUGACGAGUCCUGGUCCAAACCUGAUGGUGCAUGAAGGCCAUACUGUUGUGAUGGAAAGAUAGUUGGAAUCCCAAGACAACGCAUGUGGUCCUUUAGUUAUCUAUAAAUAUUAGUUGUCUAUUUAAAAGAUGAUUGAAUAUAUAAUAUGAUUUUCCUCCAUUUCAAUUUAUAAUGUGAUUUGGAUCUUUACUUAUUUAUAUAACAUGAUGUGAAUUAAAUAUUUACUCUCAUAUGCAUUUGCA